Molecule: ribosomal RNA, 432 nt
Filed under: uncultured bacterium
Lineage: Bacteria
Description: partial 16S ribosomal RNA
Rfam family: Bacterial small subunit ribosomal RNA
Source: RNAcentral
AACGAACGCUGGCGGCAUGCCUAACACAUGCAAGUCGAACGAGACCUUCGGGUCUAGUGGCGCACGGGUGCGUAACGCGUGGGAACCUGCCCUUAGGUUCGGAAUAACUCCCCGAAAGGGGUGCUAAUACCGGAUAAUGUCUUCGGACCAAAGAUUUAUCGCCUUCGGAUGGGCCCGCGUUGGAUUAGCUAGUUGGUAGGGUAAAAGCCUACCAAGGCGACGAUCCAUAGCUGGUCUGAGAGGAUGAUCAGCCACACUGGGACUGAGACACGGCCCAGACUCCUACGGGAGGCAGCGGUGGGGAAUAUUGGACAAUGGGCGAAAGCCUGAUCCAGCAAUGCCGCGUGAGUGAUGAAGGCCUUAGGGUUGUAAAGCUCUUUUACCCGGGAUGAUAAUGACAGUACCGGGAGAAUAAGCUCCGGCUAACUCCGU